UUGGAGUAGAUGUAUGUUCAUAGAACCACACUACUAUGGUUGAUUGUUGGUUGCUUAAAUCCAGUGGCAAAUAUUUCAUGCAUAUUCAGGACGAGAAUAAUUUCACAAUACAUACAAUAGGUAGGUCUUGACAUAUUAGAGGCCAUCCGGGAUGAUGGUCAGGGAAAUUUAGACUGCCACUGGAAACUGAGGGUAUAAUGGAUAGGGGCAGAAAUUU
This 217-nucleotide long non-coding RNA is filed under the name Mytilus galloprovincialis (Mediterranean mussel). The record is from RNAcentral. Lineage: Eukaryota; Metazoa; Mollusca; Bivalvia; Mytilida; Mytilidae.